Syzygium oleosum is the source of this 2864-nucleotide RNA transcript. It is a transcript of the gene named transcription termination factor MTERF4, chloroplastic, with no coding region annotated. Lineage: Eukaryota; Viridiplantae; Streptophyta; Magnoliopsida; Myrtales; Myrtaceae. The transcript is spliced from 4 exons. The record is from RefSeq and is a predicted model, not a curated record.
GAUUCCGAGAUUCUUGUAAGAAUCGGUGCAGCUCUCUCUCUCUCUCUCUCUCUCUUCCCCCACACUGUCUCCCGCUAAAACCCUAAACCCCUUCCUCUGCGCCUGCGUUCCGCCAGGCCGAGCAGAGCGAGACUAUGCGACGGACGCGACCAGGGGAAGCUGCCGGACGUGCCGAUCCCGUCCAUGGAUGUCGAACUGCGGCGUGUAGGGUUCGAAAUUCAGGCCCCCAAGUAAGCCACUAAGCCGCAGCUCAUCGCUGGCGGCACCCAUAUAAAAAAAAAAACGAUCUUUUUCACCUUCUUGCUAACUCGCCGCGCUUGUUGAGCUCCGGUUCGCCUCCGGAAUCUGCCGAAAUGAGCCCCCUUUCGGCGUCUAGGAAACCCAUCAAGACCCUCUCCACCCUCGUCGCCGUCGUCCCGAGACUCGUCUCGAUCGAGACCACCCCCCAAGCCCCGCGCGCCCACGAUCCCGCUCCGCGGGGAUGCGCGGGGCUGCGCCGGUUCUCGCCGUCGUUCUCGACGCAGUCGUCGAAGUACCCGGAAUACGAAAUGCCUUCCGUGACUUGGGGCGUCGUGCAGGGCCGCAAGGAAAAGCUCGUCUCGCGCGUGAUAAUUUGCGAUUACUUGAAGGGGAUAGGGGUAAUUCCGGAUGAAUUGGAGAGCCUGGAGCUGCCCUCGACGGUUGAGGUCAUGAGGGAGCGCGUCGAGUUCUUGCAGAAGCUGGGGUUGACGGUUGAUGAUAUAAAUGAAUACCCUCUGAUGCUUGGUUGUAGCGUGCGCAAGAAUGUGAUACCGGUGUUGGGCUAUCUCGAGAAGAUUGGGAUUCAGAGGUCGAGGCUUGGAGAAUUCGUGAAGAAUUACCCCCAGGUGUUACAAGCCAGUGUGGUUGUUGAGCUAGCUCCGGUUGUGAAGUUUCUCCGAGGACUUGAUGUGGAGAGACAAGAUAUUGGUUAUGUUCUGCAGAAAUAUCCGGAACUAUUGGGGUUUAAGCUAGAGGGAACCAUGAGUACUUCGGUUGCUUAUCUUGUCAGCAUCGGAGUUUGCCCUAGAGAUAUCGGUCCAAUGGUUACCCAGUAUCCGUAUUUCCUGGGGAUGAGAGUUGGGACGGUGAUUAAGCCACUGGUUGAUUACCUGGUUUCUUUGGGUUUGCCGAAGAAAAUUGUCGCGAGGAUGUUGGAGAAGCGAGCAUAUAUACUUGGCUAUGAUCUUGAAGAGACUGUUAAACCCAACAUUGACUGUUUGAUCAGCUUUGGUAUAAGAAGGGAAUCUCUAGCAUCGGUUGUUGCUCAAUACCCACAAAUUCUUGGGCUUCCUUUGAAAGCUAAAUUGUCUUCGCAGCAAUACUUUUUCACUUUGAAGCUCAAGAUUGAGCCAGAGGGAUUUGCUGAAGUAGUAGAGAAGAUGCCACAAAUAGUUAGCCUUAACCAAAAUGUGAUCAUGAAACCUGUAGAGUUCCUUUUAGGUAGAGGGAUACCCUCUGAGGAUGUGGCAAAGAUGAUUGUGAAGUGUCCUCAGUUAGUUGCCUUGCGCGUUGAGCUCAUGAAGAACAGUUAUUAUUUCUUCAAGAGCGAUAUGGGGAGACCUUUGAAAGAGCUCGUACAGUUUCCUGAAUACUUCACUUAUGGCUUGGAAUCUAGGAUCAAACCUAGGUACCAGAGGUUACAAAGCAAGGGAAUCAGAUCUUCACUGAAUUGGUUUCUUAAUUGCAGUGACCAUAGAUUUGAAGAGCGGAUGGAGGCUCAAUAUAUUGAAAGAGAUUUUGAUGGCCCAUCUUUUUGUAUUGGAGGAAAACUAGAGCUACCAGGGGGUCAGAUAGUCUCAGAUGAGGAAGCUGAGAGUGAUGAUGAAGUACUUUACCGAAGAACCGUUUCUCUUUAAAAUCUUGUCAGUUGUGACUAAAAAGGAUUGUCCCUUUUGAGUGCAGCAUUUGGUGUUUUUGCUCUUAGUGUCUUAUGUGCUGGUCUAUCUUGGCCAGGUCAACCAGGUCACCAUAUAUGACGAGGUCUUAUGUAAUUUUUCGGGGUUCCUUGAUGCUUGUGUUUCCAAGAAUAACAAGAUAUUUUUCGUGGCCUGGUUGUUCAUGGUAUUGACUCGGCUACCAGUGGAAUGUUAAGAUUCUUUAUGGCAGACAUGGAAAGUGAAGUUAUUUUAGUGUCUAUGGCUGGCUGGACAGGAAAACCUGAUUAGUGGAUUCUCUAAAAUGCGAUAUAUGUCAUGCUCCUCUUCCACCAUCAAUUAUUUGCCAUCUCCUUCCGUACUUUAUUCUGGGAUGAUCCCGCCCUCGAGUAAUAUUCUAGAGAUGUCGCUGCAAGUACCUGCUGAUUUAUGUCUUGUUGAGGAUUUUUUGCUGGAGAUUGGUCCCAGACUGACUCUGAUGAGCUUCUAAGUAUGGACGUUAGGCAUGAUAGGCGAAGCGUGGUUUGAUCAAACAAAUGGUGGGCAACUGAUUUAUUGAAAGGGAUGGGGUCUGCUGGAUUCCUGCAGCCAGAGUUCAUAUGGAGGUGACUUUUGUACCAUCAAUACUAGAAGCAAAGAAUGGCAUGUGCAAUUCGGCCCAAACAAGCAGAUAAAGGAUGAAUUUCUGCAGCUACUCUUCUGUUUGAAGAAAGCGAGCUACUUUGGUGUGGAUUCCUUGCUGGAACCUGUUGGAAAUGAUGGAUGGAAGGACUCGGAGGUCAUGAUUUUGGCGGCGUCGUGAGUUCAUCAAGAGCUUGAAGUAAUGAUUGUCUUUUCCGUUUUAUUGGUAGGACUGUUGGUGAUACUUGUCUGUCAAUCAUUCUGUGGCAUGUUCAUAAUAAACUCGUGACCUAGGUUGCGUUUGUUCCGUAGAAAACUCAAUGAUAAAGGACAAUAUUUUUCGAAAAA